AUGUAUUUUUUUAGCUGUAGCUGGAAACAAUACUUUUAUUUCAGUUAUUUAUUUUUAUGUGGUGCUGAGGAUCGAACCCAGGGUCUUGCACAUGUGAGAGUCACAGGUUGCUCUGCUGUGCAGAAACUGAGGAUCCCAAGCAGGCCAAGUCCGGAGAACCAGGAAAUGUUACUGUUAUCAUUCAAGGAUAUAGCCAUUGAUUUUACUGAAGAGGAGUGGGAAUGCCUUCAGCCUGCUCAGAAAAACUUGUAUAAAGAUGUGAUGUUAGAGAACUAUAGAAACUUUGCCUUCCUGGCUAUGAUGGUGAGAGCUGCAGCAGCCAAAUUGUGACCGUGAGCCAAAGGGCUGAAGAAUCAAAAGCCUUACUGUAGACAUUAUUGAGACCUAAGCCAAUGUUAAAAGGAUCUAUCCCCAAGCAUCUCAGUAUAUAAAGAAUAUAAGUGGUUGUUAUUUGAGCUACUGUGGUC
Molecule: long non-coding RNA, 467 nt
Organism: Marmota monax (woodchuck)
Lineage: Eukaryota; Metazoa; Chordata; Mammalia; Rodentia; Sciuridae
Exons: 4
Source: RefSeq, a predicted model, not a curated record